This 434-nucleotide ribosomal RNA is filed under the name uncultured Skermanella sp. RNAcentral describes it as "bacterial SSU rRNA". It matches the Rfam family "Bacterial small subunit ribosomal RNA", at positions 341 to 792 of the family's 1533-position model. The record is from RNAcentral. Lineage: Bacteria; Pseudomonadati; Pseudomonadota; Alphaproteobacteria; Rhodospirillales; Azospirillaceae.
ACGGAAGGCAGCAGUGGGGAAUAUUGGACAAUGGGCGCAAGCCUGAUCCAGCAAUGCCGCGUGAGUGAUGAAGGCCUUCGGGUUGUAAAGCUCUUUCGCACGCGACGAUGAUGACGGUAGCGUGAGAAGAAGCCCCGGCUAACUUCGUGCCAGCAGCCGCGGUAAUACGAAGGGGGCUAGCGUUGUUCGGAAUUACUGGGCGUAAAGGGCGCGUAGGCGGUCCCUCAAGUCAGGCGUGAAAGCCCCGGGCUCAACCUGGGAACCGCGCUUGAGACUGAUGGGCUAGAGUUCGGGAGAGGAUGGUGGAAUUCCCAGUGUAGAGGUGAAAUUCGUAGAUAUUGGGAAGAACACCGAUGGCGAAGGCAGCCAUCUGGACCGACACUGACGCUGAGGCGCGAAAGCGUGGGGAGCAAACAGGAUUAGAUACCCUGGUA